CGCUGACAUUCUUGAUUUUCUGUGGGUAUCUUUAGGAGCUAUUGCGCAAGUUUAUUGAUCCCUUAUUCGCCUUAAUUUGAAAUAACUGACAAUGAAUUAAUUUAUGAAGUAAAGAUUGUAUCUUUGAUAGAUUUUCUUCAAAAUAGAUGCAUGCAGAGAGAGAUUCUAGUUCAAGACUUCCAUGAGUCCAUCCAAUUGGGAAAGAAUGAUGUUGUAAUGAGGCUUUUGGUUUUGCAUAUCUCUGUUUUCAGAUGACAUUGUGUGUUAUUUCUUGAUGUGGAUUGAGAUUCUAGUUUAGGGUUGUAUUUAAUUUUGAUUAAGUUGGAUUUGAGGAAAAAUCUUGAUUUGUGUUUAUUUGUUGUGUUUUAUAAUAAAAAUGUCUAGUUGUUUUGUUCAGCUGACUGGACACACUGUAAUCAGUUACAGUUUUGCUGAAUUUUUAUCAGCCAUGCUUAAUCUCAUUCCCGGAUUUACCUUCGUGUUUGCUGUUGUUUUCAGGCUCUUGAUUAUGCCAAAUGUCGUGCUUAAAUUGAUCAGUGGCUUCUCUUUCAUAAGAAGGAAAUGGCAAUUUCUUAAACUUUGAUUGUGCGGUGUUUCAACUUUCAAAUGGCAGUGCUAAACUGUAGGAAUUCAAAAUUAUUAGGAACGCUGGUCUUCAUUUCUGGUGCCUUUGUUGUCACUCUCUACAAAGGCCCCGAGAGCCUGACUAAUCUGUUGUCUCCUAAGUUGCAUUAUGAGUAUAUUGGUGUAGUAGCAGUCAAGUUGGAUUUUAGGAGGGUUAUUCCUUGCUGAAAACUGUGUCGUUGCUUCAGCCUGCAUAAUUGGACAGAUAUAACUCCACUUAUAGAAAUGAAGAGAAACCAGACAAGUUAGGAAUGGAAUCUUUUCAUAUUUAUAUUCAUUUUGCAAUUGUCGAUUCUCUAGAAAUACCCAGCAGAGCUGGUUAUAGUAUUCCUUUACUGCUUCUCUGCUGCCAUUCUGUCCACAUUUGAAUCUGUGAUCUCUGAUUGAGACCUUAGUGCUUGACGGUUGCAACCAUGAACCUGACUGAUUGUUGUUCUGUAUUCAGUAGGUGAUAGAUGAGCUGUUUCAUAUCGAAAGUCACAGUUGAUACUGAACUUCUAUCUCAAUGCUAGACAAUGGUUGGAUCAAAACCAGUUUGUUAUGUUGAAAACUAUGUUUGGAAAAUCACCUUAUCCAUAUUUGGCUGUAUAAUUUGCGCAACCUCGCUUCUUCAUAGGGAGUAAAUGGCUCUGCAUUCCAAGUGUAACUGCAUGGUGCCUGCACAAAAAAGGUUCCCUUUUCAUUCCAAUGUUUCAUCCGUUAGGGUUCAUGAUAUCUGCUGUUAUUGGUAUUAUCUUCUUGGGAGAUAUUCUGUAUCUUGGAAGGUGGGUUUGCUAGGGUCAGUUAAUAUCGUUGUCGGGUUGUACUCAGUGAUGUGGGGAAAGGCAAAAGAAGUUAAGGUGAUUGAGAACAGCAACAACCGACUUUCUGCAACCAUUAGUGUGAAUGCUCCCAUUGAGGAUGAGCAGACUGUGUCAUUAGACAAGAGCAUGACGCCAUUCACUUGCUAAUAUACGGAGGCACCGCGGAAGCCAUAUCCAUUUUCUGGCCUUUCUUGUAGAGGUCAACAGUCUAAUGCUGGAGAGGAUCGACGUCUCUUUGAAGGAGGAGACAUGUUUGACAAGUAUCUUCCUUCCUAUCCUUUCACACACAUGAAGUGUACAUGCCUCCUCAUCCUAUACUAUAUGUUUUUUUCUUGUACAAUGUCAAAUCUCACUCAUUCUUUCUCUUUAUUAUCCGUUGACACUCGUGCAUGAGCUGCAUCCUGUUUUAUACAAUAUGACUAUUUUUGGUGAAUAGCUGACCAGUCUUGGCUGCAGGUGGAAGAAGUCAGAAUAGUGAGACAUUGUCUAAACAUGGGAGGCAUGACCUUCAAAUUCUAAGUUUUGAAUGGAUUCAAAUGUUGUAUAUUAUUCUUAUUUUGUAAAAUACAGCACAGAAACUACUGCUGAAUUUUACACAUGCAUAUGUUACUACCUAUGACUGUAAAAGUUGAGCAUUGUUGGUGAUGAGAAGUUUAUCACUUCAAAUGUGUGUAAUGCAUAAUUGGAUUUUCCAUCCUCUGAAAUAUGUAUUGAUAUUGCCUGGGGCAUUUUUCUUA
Molecule: non-coding RNA, 2164 nt
Organism: Salvia hispanica
Lineage: Eukaryota; Viridiplantae; Streptophyta; Magnoliopsida; Lamiales; Lamiaceae
Source: RefSeq, a predicted model, not a curated record